GCUGGCGGCAUGCCUACACAUGCAAGUCGAACGCUUUUGUUUCACCGGGUGCUUGCACCCACCGAGACAAAAGAGUGGCGGACGGGUGAGUAACACGUGGGUAACCUGCCCAUAAGAGGGGGAUAACAUCCGGAAACGGAUGCUAAUACCGCAUAUUUCCAAUUGUCUCCUGACAGAUGGAAAAAAGGUGGCUUCGGCUACCGCUUAUGGAUGGACCCGCGGCGUAUUAGCUAGUUGGUGAGGUAAUGGCUCACCAAGGCGAUGAUACGUAGCCGACCUGAGAGGGUGAUCGGCCACACUGGGACUGAGACACGGCCCAGACUCCUACGGGAGGCAGCAGUAGGGAAUCUUCCGCAAUGGACGAAAGUCUGACGGAGCAAUGCCGCGUGAGUGAAGAAGGUUUUCGGAUCGUAAAACUCUGUUGUUAGAGAAGAACAAGGAUGAAGUAACUGCUCAUCCCCUGACGGUAUCUAACCAGAAAGCCACGGCUAACUACGUGCCACAGCCGCGGUAAU
RNAcentral lists this ribosomal RNA (515 nucleotides) under Carnobacterium sp. A2S10L14. Its description in RNAcentral is "bacterial SSU rRNA". It matches the Rfam family "Bacterial small subunit ribosomal RNA", at positions 35 to 524 of the family's 1533-position model. Lineage: Bacteria; Bacillati; Bacillota; Bacilli; Lactobacillales; Carnobacteriaceae. The record is from RNAcentral.